GAAGGAAAGGGAUAGGAAGGAGGGGAAGGAAAGGGAAAGGAAGGAAAAGAAAGGAAAGUGAACUUGAAAUCCUACAAGGUCUCAAAGUCAAAAAACAUGAUUGCUGUUUUAGAGAAUUGAAGAUCCUUCAUCUUCAAGAAUCUGAAAUCUACCAUGAUCUUCACAUGUAGCCAAACACAAUGGGAUGUAGUCAUUUAAGAGUGCUGUGAAGGCAGUGAAAAGCAGUUGAAAUACCAUUAGUUAACAGAUUGCCCAAUGAAGUCGAUGACAACUGUGAUAACAAGUUACUCACUAUCACAGCGUCUCCAAGAGAUGAACAGUGGAUGAUGCUUCCAAAGCACAGAUGUCCCUCUCCUCCUCAACCUUCUCUCCCCAGAAAGAUGUCAACACUGUGGAGAUUGUGCUAUGAAGAUACCUGGUGUGGCAUUGCAAUAGAUGAAAUAUUAAGGGCAAUUCAACAAUUUUCUGAACAAAUACAUGGAUUUAACUUGAAGUUGAAUUUAAUUUGACUUCAAGAAAAAUUAUAUUUCUGGUCCUCCUAUGAUCAUGCACUAAGAAUUAUUUAACUGCAGAUACAAUUGUUACCUUUAGAGCUAGAAGGCCUCAUUUUAGAAUUAAAAUGAAUGGCAACCCAGACAGAUAA
Homo sapiens (human) is the source of this 643-nucleotide long non-coding RNA. Ensembl annotates it as long intergenic non-protein coding RNA 1020. The record is from Ensembl. NCBI's taxonomy places the organism in Eukaryota, Metazoa, Chordata, Mammalia, Primates, Hominidae.